AGACCCGAAACCCGGUGAUCUAGCCAUGGGCAGGUUGAAGGUUGGGUAACACUAACUGGAGGACCGAACCGACUAAUGUUGAAAAAUUAGCGGAUGACCUGUGGCUGGGGGUGAAAGGCCAAUCAAACCGGGAGAUAGCUGGUUCUCCCCGAAAGCUAUUUAGGUAGCGCCUCGUGAAUUCAUCUCCGGGGGUAGAGCACUGUUUCGGCUAGGGGGCCAUCCCGGCUUACCAACCCGAUGCAAACUGCGAAUACCGGAGAAUGUUAUCACGGGAGACACACGGCGGGUGCUAACGUCCGUCGUGAAGAGGGAAACAACCCAGACCGCCAGCUAAGGUCCCAAAGUCAUGGUUAAGUGGGAAACGAUGUGGGAAGGCCCAGACAGCCAGGAUGUUG
Molecule: ribosomal RNA, 395 nt
Filed under: Salmonella enterica
Lineage: Bacteria; Pseudomonadati; Pseudomonadota; Gammaproteobacteria; Enterobacterales; Enterobacteriaceae
Also listed under: 2 other names
Description: partial 23S ribosomal RNA
Rfam family: Bacterial large subunit ribosomal RNA
Source: RNAcentral